Anas platyrhynchos (mallard) is the source of this 1217-nucleotide long non-coding RNA. RefSeq lists it as uncharacterized. NCBI's taxonomy places the organism in Eukaryota, Metazoa, Chordata, Aves, Anseriformes, Anatidae. The record is from RefSeq and is a predicted model, not a curated record.
AAUUACUCUUUGCUAUUUUUAAGGGUCUCUUCUACUGCUUUUUAAAUUUCCCAGUCUCUUGCAGCUCUAUAUAAAUGUUUACAGAAUUGAUUAUGAAGGCAAACGUAUCAUUGUGGUUCCGGGUCACAAGACACUUGUGUUGUGAAAUCCUCCUUCAGAUGCAGUUCGUUUGCUUCCAUUGCAUCAAAUGGCUGAUGAGAUUUAGUUGCUGUAUUAGGCAGAGGUAGAGGCAGCAAAGCAGGAGCUGCUUGCUCGUUUCAGACCUGCACAGUGUCUCAGCUGGAACUUGCUCAUUGAGGCCAAUGAAAACUCAGGUCCCUGAGCACUGGAACCACCAGAAGGCAACAAGUGUAGUUCUGUUGAUGUAAGAUCAGACUGGAAUUGCAUCUGCUUUGGGACAAUACAGACCACACUCCUUCUUCUACCACGAAGAUGCAACAAAGUUUAAUGCUGAUGUUGUUAAACCCUGUGACUGACUGCUCCACAGCUCAUUAUGGCUAGGGGUCUCAGAAAGGUCCUCACAAACUCAACCUGGGAAUUGGAAGCUCAUCUCUAAAUGACACUCAGCUGUGACGAAGAUAGCCAAUCUUCCUAACAACACCUAAAACUUUACAGCUGUCCAUCCACUCAAGUUUGUCUUUGUCUCCCUACAAUGGCCCCACUGCCAAGGCCACUCACGUUGUUCCUACCCCAGCUCUUUUCCUAAUCCAGUGUUUGAUUCAGAGCAGGUCACUGAUUCCACCCUGGGCUCUGAAGCAAAGGCUGUUAAUGCAACUCUGAAAAAAUAAGAUGAGAUUGAAAUGUUAUUUGUCAAGUGUGCUGUUCUAAGAUCUAUGGGAAGGAGCUGUAAAAUGAUCCUGCCUUUCAAAGUUUAUCCUGCAGAAAGAAUUAAUAUGAAAUGGCCUUAUUAGCAAGCUAUCAUUUACUCCCCUUGGAGCUUUCUGCAGGGUAAGAUACUCAGGCUAACCACAGCAUAUCCUAGCAUUGGAAAAAUCUGUGGAAAAACUUGUGCCUUGGGGCAGAACUUCAGAGAAGUAGAAAUAUAUUGUCUUUAUCUGCUGUUUCUCUCCCAUCUCUUUGCUGGGGUUGUAGGCACUUGCGUUUGAUGAACUUUUGUCUUUGCUGCCCAGCUUCUCUGUUUUGUUUGAUCACACAGCAAGGUCAGAAUCUGUAUUUUUGAUUCCAUUUGUUGCCAUGGAAAUACCUCUCCUAUCACA